Non-coding RNA from Dentipellis sp. KUC8613, 73 nucleotides. Lineage: Eukaryota; Fungi; Basidiomycota; Agaricomycetes; Russulales; Hericiaceae. The record is from the annotation of a GenBank genome assembly.
GCCGUCGUGGCGCAAUGGUUAGCGCAUCACUUUCCUAAGGUGGGGGUUGGGGGUUCGACUCCCCCCGUCGGUA